This 728-nucleotide ribosomal RNA is filed under the name Lactococcus garvieae. RNAcentral's name for it is "bacterial SSU rRNA". It matches the Rfam family "Bacterial small subunit ribosomal RNA", at positions 25 to 734 of the family's 1533-position model. The record is from RNAcentral. Lineage: Bacteria; Bacillati; Bacillota; Bacilli; Lactobacillales; Streptococcaceae.
CAGGACGAACGCUGGCGGCGUGCCUAAUACAUGCAAGUCGAGCGAUGAUUAAAGAUAGCUUGCUAUUUUUAUGAAGAGCGGCGAACGGGUGAGUAACGCGUGGGAAAUCUGCCGAGUAGCGGGGGACAACGUUUGGAAACGAACGCUAAUACCGCAUAACAAUGAGAAUCGCAUGAUUCUUAUUUAAAAGAAGCAAUUGCUUCACUACUUGAUGAUCCCGCGUUGUAUUAGCUAGUUGGUAGUGUAAAGGACUACCAAGGCGAUGAUACAUAGCCGACCUGAGAGGGUGAUCGGCCACACUGGGACUGAGACACGGCCCAGACUCCUACGGGAGGCAGCAGUAGGGAAUCUUCGGCAAUGGGGGCAACCCUGACCGAGCAACGCCGCGUGAGUGAAGAAGGUUUUCGGAUCGUAAAACUCUGUUGUUAGAGAAGAACGUUAAGUAGAGUGGAAAAUUACUUAAGUGACGGUAUCUAACCAGAAAGGGACGGCUAACUACGUGCCAGCAGCCGCGGUAAUACGUAGGUCCCAAGCGUUGUCCGGAUUUAUUGGGCGUAAAGCGAGCGCAGGUGGUUUCUUAAGUCUGAUGUAAAAGGCAGUGGCUCAACCAUUGUGUGCAUUGGAAACUGGGAGACUUGAGUGCAGGAGAGGAGAGUGGAAUUCCAUGUGUAGCGGUGAAAUGCGUAGAUAUAUGGAGGAACACCGGAGGCGAAAGCGGCUCUCUGGCC